Molecule: ribosomal RNA, 256 nt
Filed under: uncultured bacterium
Lineage: Bacteria
Description: partial 16S ribosomal RNA
Rfam family: Bacterial small subunit ribosomal RNA
Source: RNAcentral
UACGAAGGGGGCUAGCGUUGCUCGGAAUCACUGGGCGUAAAGCGCACGUAGGCGGCUUUCUAAGUCAGGGGUGAAAUCCUGGAGCUCAACUCCAGAACUGCCUUUGAUACUGGAGAGCUCGAGUCCGGAAGAGGUGAGUGGAACUGCGAGUGUAGAGGUGAAUUCGUAGAUAUUCGCAAGAACACCAGUGGCGAAGGCGGCUCACUGGUCCGGUACUGACGCUGAGGUGCGAAAGCGUGGGGAGCAAGCAGGAGUA